CGUCAAGUCAGCAUGGCCCUUACGUCCUGGGCUACACCCACGCUACAAUGGCCGGUACAACGGGCGGCGAAACCGCGAGGUGGAGCAAAUCCCUUAAAGCCGGUCUCAGUUCGGAUUGUAGGCUGCAACUCGCCUACAUGAAGCCGGAGUUGCUAGUAACCGCCGGUCAGCAUACGGCGGUGAAUAUGUUCCCGGGGCUUGUACACACCGCCCGUCACGUCAUGAAAGCUGGCAACACCCGAAGCCGGUGGGCCAACCCGCAAGGGAGGCAGCCGUCGAAGGUGGGGUCGGUGAUUGGGACGAAGUCGUAACAAGGUAGCCGUA
This 324-nucleotide ribosomal RNA is filed under the name uncultured bacterium. RNAcentral's name for it is "bacterial SSU rRNA". It matches the Rfam family "Bacterial small subunit ribosomal RNA", at positions 1183 to 1504 of the family's 1533-position model. The record is from RNAcentral.